Molecule: long non-coding RNA, 604 nt
Organism: Syngnathus typhle (broad-nosed pipefish)
Lineage: Eukaryota; Metazoa; Chordata; Actinopteri; Syngnathiformes; Syngnathidae
Exons: 2
Source: RefSeq, a predicted model, not a curated record
CCCAUCCUGGAGAGGAAGAUGGGGGGAGGCGGGCGCCAGGAUGUGGGGGUGGGACAAAAGCAGUGGGUUGGUGGAGGCCAUUUUGAGACACAAGCAGUCAUACAGUUUGGGAUGCUGAAGUUGGUAGCUAAAUGCUAACUUGCCGUGAGUUCAAAGUCACAAAAUGUCACCUUUUUAGCAUUCAACCAUUGUGGGAGAAAAACAUGACGAUGCUACACGAACAAGCUAAAUGAAUCUCAGGACUCGGCAAAGAUCACAACAACUUCCUCCCUGUGAGCCACACUUCCUGUUUCCUGCGUGUGUGGGCGACGGAACGGACGUCAGGAAGGAAAAGAAUCGGGGUGAUCGGCGUGGGUGUGGAGGAGCGGCCCCGUUGCCAUGACGACGAUGCACCGGAACAGCAAGGGAGGGGGGAAGCCCUCUCCGGCCUAUCACAGCUCACCUGGUGCAUGAUGGGAGAUCAAAUACUCCAUUUGAAAUGACUCCUGUGCCGCUACUACCAAAGUACAAUGGUGCCUUGAGAUGAGAGGCCGCGUUGUCACUUUGACAAAAAUAAUAUGACUCAAUCUUCGCUCAAGUAAACACAAUAAAAACACUGUGCGUG